UUUUCUGGAGGAGGUGGAGCCUGGGGACUGAGAGCAAGAGAGAAAGAGAGCCUGUGAGAUAAUAGGCUGUUCUGGGACCAGUGUGAUGGCUCUUAAACUCCCAGCUGAUGCCCGCACAGCAGGACUGCUCCACGAUCAAAGCAAGGGCAAGCUCUUCCACUGAGAGGUCAGUUUAGCAGUGAUUGAUUGAAGUCAAGCUCCGUUGAACACAUCCCAAAGAGUCAAGGGAGACAGCAGUGUAAAAGUACAUUUUCAAGACUCCCAGCCCACACGCAGGUCACUCUGAAGAAUCAGUCAGUGCAUGUUUUUGAGAGCACGUUCCCAUUGACUGAACCCCCUGUCAGUUGGGUGGCCCUCUUAGUGUGAAGUUUGGUAAUGCGUGAAAAACAUCUCCAGGUCGAAUGUGUGUGGCCCAUUCAAACCAUUCUUUAGUCUUAGUCAAAGAAAUUCACUUCUUUAAAAACAGUCUAGCAUUUGUUUUAUCUACAGUAGGUGACAUUUAGUUAUCACUUUAACAUAAAAAACAAAACCCC
RNAcentral lists this long non-coding RNA (533 nucleotides) under Danio rerio (zebrafish). Its description in RNAcentral is "si:ch211-77k2.2 (ENSDARG00000097101.2)". Lineage: Eukaryota; Metazoa; Chordata; Actinopteri; Cypriniformes; Danionidae. The record is from RNAcentral.